This 97-nucleotide non-coding RNA is filed under the name Thioalkalivibrio sulfidiphilus HL-EbGr7. RNAcentral describes it as "Thioalkalivibrio sulfidophilus HL-EbGr7 Glycine riboswitch aptamer". It matches the Rfam family "Glycine riboswitch aptamer". Rfam says of the family: This family represents the bacterial glycine riboswitch. Glycine riboswitches usually consist of two metabolite-binding aptamers domains with similar structures in tandem. Lineage: Bacteria; Pseudomonadati; Pseudomonadota; Gammaproteobacteria; Chromatiales; Ectothiorhodospiraceae. The record is from Rfam by way of RNAcentral. RNAcentral also lists the same sequence under 1 other name.
CGUACCGGCUCUGGAGAGCGGUCGCCGCGCGCGGCCCACCGAAGGGGAGAACCGCGACGCGGUUUAAUCUCUCAGGUUUCAGGACAGAGGGGUGGUC